Molecule: ribosomal RNA, 292 nt
Filed under: uncultured bacterium
Lineage: Bacteria
Description: partial 16S ribosomal RNA
Rfam family: Bacterial small subunit ribosomal RNA
Source: RNAcentral
GUGCCAGCAGCCGCGGUAACACGUAGGGGACGAGCGUUGUCCGGAUUCAUUGGGCGUAAAGCGCGCGUAGGCGGCCCGGAAAGUCGGAUGUGAAAACCUGGGGCUCAACCCCAGGCGUGCACCCGAUACUCCCGGGCUGGAGGCAGGUAGGGGAGAUCGGAAUUCCUGGUGUAGCGGUGAAAUGCGCAGAUAUCAGGAGGAACACCGGUGGCGAAGGCGGAUCUCUGGGCCUUGCCUGACGCUGAGGCGCGAAAGCUAGGGGAGCGAACAGGAUUAGAUACCCUGGUAGUCC